AGGCAGCAGUGGGGAAUAUUGCACAAUGGGGGAAACCCUGAUGCAGCGACGCCGCGUGAAGGAUGAAGUAUUUCGGUAUGUAAACUUCUAUCAGCAGGGAAGAAAAUGACGGUACCUGACUAAGAAGCCCCGGCUAACUACGUGCC
This 146-nucleotide ribosomal RNA is filed under the name uncultured bacterium. Its description in RNAcentral is "partial 16S ribosomal RNA". It matches the Rfam family "Bacterial small subunit ribosomal RNA", at positions 346 to 509 of the family's 1533-position model. The record is from RNAcentral.